GGACGGGUGAGUAAUGUCUGGGAAACUGCCUGAUGGAGGGGGAUAACUACUGGAAACGGUAGCUAAUACCGCAUAAYGUCGCAAGACCAAAGAGGGGGACCUUCGGGCCUCUUGCCAUCAGAUGUGCCCAGAUGGGAUUAGCUAGUAGGCGGGGUAAUGGCCCACCUAGGCGACGAUCCCUAGCUGGUCUGAGAGGAUGACCAGCCACACUGGAACUGAGACACGGUCCAGACUCCUACGGGAGGCAGCAGUGGGGAAUAUUGCACAAUGGGCGCAAGCCUGAUGCAGCCAUGCCGCGUGUGUGAAGAAGGCCUUCGGGUUGUAAAGCACUUUCAGCGGGGAGGAAGGCRGUACGGUUAAUAACCGUGCUGAUUGACGUUACCCGCAGAAGAAGCACCGGCUAACUCCGUGCCAGCAGCCGCGGUAAUACGGAGGGUGCAAGCGUUAAUCGGAAUUACUGGGCGUAAAGCGCACGCAGGCGGUCUGUCAAGUCGGAUGUGAAAUCCCCGGGCUCAACCUGGGAACUGCAUUCGAAACUGGCAGGCUGGAGUCUCGUAGAGGGAGGUA
RNAcentral lists this ribosomal RNA (567 nucleotides) under Enterobacter sp. Its description in RNAcentral is "bacterial SSU rRNA". It matches the Rfam family "Bacterial small subunit ribosomal RNA", at positions 100 to 663 of the family's 1533-position model. The record is from RNAcentral. Lineage: Bacteria; Pseudomonadati; Pseudomonadota; Gammaproteobacteria; Enterobacterales; Enterobacteriaceae.